This 72-nucleotide transfer RNA is filed under the name Phrynosoma platyrhinos (Desert horned lizard). Its description in RNAcentral is "tRNA-OTHER". Lineage: Eukaryota; Metazoa; Chordata; Lepidosauria; Squamata; Phrynosomatidae. The record is from RNAcentral.
GCCAGUAUGGUGUAGUGGUUUGAAUGUCGGACUACAACUCUGGAGACCAGGGUUUGAGUCCCAGCUUGGCCA